This 252-nucleotide ribosomal RNA is filed under the name uncultured bacterium. Its description in RNAcentral is "partial 16S ribosomal RNA". It matches the Rfam family "Bacterial small subunit ribosomal RNA", at positions 524 to 776 of the family's 1533-position model. The record is from RNAcentral.
UACGUAGGGUCCGAGCGUUGUCCGGAAUUACUGGGCGUAAAGGGUGCGUAGGUGGUUUCUUAAGUCAGAGGUGAAAGGCUACGGCUCAACCGUAGUAAGCCUUUGAAACUGGGAGACUUGAGUGUGGCAGAGGGGGGUGGAAUUCCACGUGUAGCAGUGAAAUGCGUAGAUAUGUGGAGGAACACCGAUGGCGAAGGCAGCCCCCUGGGCUAACACUGACGCUCAUGCACGAAAGCGUGGGGAGCAAACAGG